CGCCAGGGAAUUACGAGCCUAGCUUAAAACCCAAAGGANUUGACGUGUCCCACCCCACUAGAGGAGCCUGUUCUAUAACCGAUAAUCCACGAUACACCCAACCAUKUCUUGCUUUUCAGCCUGUAUACCUCCGUCGCAAGCUUGCCGUCUGAACGCAUAACAGCAGGCCCAAUGGCCAACCGCCAAAACGUCAGGUCGAGGUGCAGCUAACGAAAUGGUAAGCAAUGGGCUACAAUUUCUAAACUAGAACAAACGAAACACUACAUGAAACAUAGUCAUGAAGGCGGAUUUAGCAGUAAAUAGGGAAUAGAGAGCCCCAUUUAACCCGGCCCUGGGACGUGUACAVACCGCCCGUCACCCUCUUCGACAGUACCCCCCCCCAAGCUCCCUAACCUAAACCAUACGCUAUAGAAGAGGCAAGUCGAAACAUGGUAAGUAUACUGGAAAGUGUACUUGGAAUAA
This 462-nucleotide ribosomal RNA is filed under the name Nyctixalus pictus (painted Indonesian treefrog). RNAcentral describes it as "partial 12S ribosomal RNA". It matches the Rfam family "Bacterial small subunit ribosomal RNA", at positions 870 to 1533 of the family's 1533-position model. The record is from RNAcentral. Lineage: Eukaryota; Metazoa; Chordata; Amphibia; Anura; Rhacophoridae.